GCAGUCAUGGUGUAGCUGGUCAUCACGUUGUGCCUCACACGUGCAAGGUCCCCAGUUCGGACCUGGGUGGCUGCA
Molecule: non-coding RNA, 75 nt
Organism: Tetradesmus obliquus
Lineage: Eukaryota; Viridiplantae; Chlorophyta; Chlorophyceae; Sphaeropleales; Scenedesmaceae
Source: the annotation of a GenBank genome assembly